GUCUGGCAAAAGACACCUGAUUGAUGUUCCGCUUUCCCACGGACGACGGUCCACUCUCCUGGUCCCGGAGCGCCAACCCAGAGGUGGGAUAGAGGGGGGAGGGGAUUUGUUAACUGUCCCAAGCUGGUCUCGAACUCCUGGCAAUCCUUCCUGCCACAGCCCCGGCCCUCUCGUCCCGAUUGCUGGAAUUGCAGGCUUGAGCCAUCACUCCCUGCAAAAGCUGGGUAUUUAAUGAAGCCAUCAUUAUGUCAAGAGCCUGAAAAGCCUUCAAAUAUCAACCAUCACGAUCAUUAUCCCAAUCAUAAAGUGCUUCUUCGGGGCGGGGCUCCCCCUCAAGCUUCAACGACAGAUGCACUAGCUGCAGCCCAGUGCCUCUAAUGUUGCAGUCUAUGGAAGACUCGCCACUCUCCUCACAACCCUCUUCAGCCGCAAACAUCACCAGGCAGGAGAACGGGGCCGGGGGGAGGGGGGGGCUGGUGACUGAGUGAGCCCCUCUCCCAUGAACUUAAGCCUAAUAAAAUUCAGAUCUCACCUUUCCACCACCACAGUCAAAAGGCUGGGGAGAGCUGGGCAUAGUGGCGCAUGCCUUUAACCUA
Jaculus jaculus (lesser Egyptian jerboa) is the source of this 596-nucleotide long non-coding RNA. RefSeq lists it as uncharacterized. The record is from RefSeq and is a predicted model, not a curated record. The transcript has 2 exons. NCBI's taxonomy places the organism in Eukaryota, Metazoa, Chordata, Mammalia, Rodentia, Dipodidae.